This 468-nucleotide ribosomal RNA is filed under the name uncultured bacterium. Its description in RNAcentral is "partial 16S ribosomal RNA". It matches the Rfam family "Bacterial small subunit ribosomal RNA", at positions 28 to 507 of the family's 1533-position model. The record is from RNAcentral.
GACGAACGCUGGCGGCGUGCUUAACACAUGCAAGUCGAACGGACAGACCCUGCUUUUGUGGGGUUCUCGAUUGGCGCACGGGUGAGUAACACGUGAGUAACCUGCCCUUGACUUUGGGAUAACUUCAGGAAACUGGGGCUCAUACCGGAUAGGAGCUCCUGCUGCAUGGUGGUGGAUGGAAAGUUUCGGCGGUUGGGGCUGGACUCGAGGCUUAUCAGCUUGCUGGUGGGGUAGUGGCUUACCAAGGCUUUGACGGGUAGCCGGCCUGAGAGGGGGACCGGCGACAUUGGGACUGAGGUACGGACCAGUAGCCAACGGUAGGCAGCAGUGGGGAACAUUGCACAAUGGGCGGACGCCUGAGGCAGAAGUGCCGGGAGCGGGAUGACGGCUUUCGGGUGGUAAACCGCUUUCGCCUGUGACGAAGCGUGAGUGACGGUAAUGGGUAAAGAAGCACCGGCUAACUACGUG